ACGUGGCUGUUCCGGCCAUCACGCCUAAACCAAGCCAACCACAGCUACCCAGAACAGAUGACAUCAUCCCGCUCGCCUCAGCAAAAUCACGUGGUCGCUGGUGCACGUGAUCCGUGGCUUCGCGUAAAAACGAUGUAUUGUCAGCAAGGAACCCCAAGUAAACCUUAUUUAAAGUCUAAUGGAUGGGGAGCCUCACACUGGAAUAGGGGGUGUCUGUCCUGAGAACUCUCCUCAAUAAACCUGUGUGUGCUAAUUCUC
This is a long non-coding RNA of Felis catus (domestic cat), 258 nucleotides long. RefSeq lists it as uncharacterized. Lineage: Eukaryota; Metazoa; Chordata; Mammalia; Carnivora; Felidae. The transcript is spliced from 3 exons. The record is from RefSeq and is a predicted model, not a curated record.